RNAcentral lists this long non-coding RNA (878 nucleotides) under Heterocephalus glaber (naked mole-rat). Its description in RNAcentral is "lncRNA (ENSHGLG00100041699.1)". Lineage: Eukaryota; Metazoa; Chordata; Mammalia; Rodentia; Bathyergidae. The record is from RNAcentral.
ACCAUCAGUACGUGACAGUCGACCACUAACCCUUGUUUCUUUUCUCUUAAAUCUACAUGUUAACCUCCCCCUCAACCCCCUAUAAAAGCAGCCCCGGACUCUGAGCCAGUUGCCUCUCUAAGCUACUUUGCUUUGGGAGUGCCGUCUGGCCAGACUAAUAAAGGUCUGUUUUACUUUCCAACUUGUCCGGUGUGUUCCCUCCCGGGUGUUCUUCGCUGCAGUCAGCUCCUCGGAGUGUUUGGAGAGGAGGACACCAGACUCCUGAUGCUCAUUUACACAGUAAGUCAAGGGAGCAUCAAGAAGUGUACAGAAGUAGUUGGGGCAACAGCAGCUCAGCAUGGAACUUCAAGAAACUGCAAAUUUUGGUAUAUUGAGUUCUUGCUUGCACAGACUAAAUAGAAGAUGUCAAGUUUGUUAUGUGUAAGUUUUGUUGUUUGGCCAAGAUUUAGGAGUCUCCUGCCGUGUGAUGUACAGAUCAUGGUGGACUGCUACACUGUGGUUCUCUGCCUUCAGCUACUGAAUGAGACAGUUUGAGUGGCAGAAUGGCUGGUUGUUGAAGGAACCAACCGAAGCUUGAAAGUGGAAAUUCAAUAAAGGAAGAAAAUAAAUCCUUUCUACAACCACAGAUCAGCCAAAGUCAAGGUUUUGUUGUUGUUUGUUUGUUUGUUGUUGUUUGUUGACAAGGUCUCACACUUUAGUUCAGUCAGUUCCGCACCGAGUUUGUCCGGCCCCUCCCCAGAGUGUGGAUAAAGGAGGGUUGGUCAGGAGGUUAUGACCCGCGCAGCUGGCUGGAGUUCGGAAGCACAUGGAACCCUUUUUCUCUCCAUGGCUGCUUACUGCCCAGAGAGGCCAAGCCCUGUCUCAAACUAGAGGCUUGC